UGGGGAAUUUUGGACAAUGGGCGCAAGCCUGAUCCAGCCAUGCCGCGUGCAGGAAGAAGGCCUUCGGGUUGUAAACUGCUUUUGUCAGGGAAGAAAUCCUUUGGGUUAAUACCUCGAAGGGAUGACGGUACCUGAAGAAUAAGCACCGGCUAACUACGUGCCAGCAGCCGCGGUAAUACGUAGGGUGCGAGCGUUAAAUCGGAAUUACUGGGCGUAAAGCGUGCGCAGGCGGCUUUGCAAGACAGAUGUGAAAUCCCCCGGGCUCAAACCUGGGAACUGCAUUUGUGACUGCAAGGCUAGAGUGCGGCAGAGGGAGAUGGAAUUCCGCGUGUAGCAGUGAAAUGCGUAGAUAUGCGGAGGAACACCGAUGGCGAAGGCAAUCUCCUGGGCCUGCACUGACGCUCAUGCACGAAAAGCGUGGGGAGC
This 426-nucleotide ribosomal RNA is filed under the name uncultured bacterium. RNAcentral's name for it is "partial 16S ribosomal RNA". It matches the Rfam family "Bacterial small subunit ribosomal RNA", at positions 355 to 769 of the family's 1533-position model. The record is from RNAcentral.